AAUUAGCUUGUGUUUGUCAUCUAGCUUUUCUGCAGUAAGCAUGUGUAUUUGUGUCUGUGAGCUUUUCUGUAGUGAGCAUGUGUUUGUCAGUGAGUUUGUCUGUAGUGAGCAUGUGUGUCGGCGAGCUUUUUUGUAGUGAGCAUGUGUGUCCAGCGUGCUUUUUUGUAGUGAGCAUAUGUAUUUGCCAGUGAGUUUGUAGUGACCAUGUGUGUUUUAGUGAGCUUUUCUGUAGUAAGUUUGUGUGUCUGUGAGCUUGUCUGUAGUAAGUUUGUGUUUGUAUAACAAUGAAUUUGUCUGUAGUAACCUUGUGUGAGUGUCAAAGUUUGUACUAAGUUUGUGUGUGUGUGUAUCAGUAAACUUGUCUGUGUGUCAGUGAGAUUAUUUCAGGUUAAUCCAGUGUGAAUGUUCGCGGCGAGGUCCUGCCGCUGUUGGGUGCAGUCUCUCCGAGUAACCCGUGAGUGGUAGCAUAGCACUUUAACUAAGGAAUCUCUCCGGGGUCCCCAGCAACGGGUGGCUAGCAUAUUUGCUAGCAUAUUUGCCCUCCCACAUACCCGCAGGGUACUCGGCGUGCAGAUUACCAUGUACCGGCUUCCUUUAGCCGAUCUAACUGUUCUAUACAUCGACCCCUCUACUUACGUACAGGCCACAUCGUGGUCAUUUCCCUAUUUCAUGCUGCUUUCGAUCAGACUUGUCCCUAAUGGAUUAAACCAGAAAUGAUCAUACAUGUCUUUCAUCUGGUAGGUGGCCACGGUACUUGAUAAGUAGAGAUGUCCUCUGUAUGUACAUUUAGAAGUAAAGUGAUUUAUUUGAUAUGAUGUUAUAGGCUGGUCUCCAGAGAUUUAAUUCUGCUUAUAUUACCCGUCCCGCUUUAAUGAUUUUAACGGUUAUUCGUCAUUGUUGCUUACGCUGGGCUUUUAAUCAUAUAAGCACUUAUUUGGAAAUCUAUUUCAAAGUUCUUUGGUGGUUGUAUCUGGCUACCUUGUUUAUUAUUAAGUUUUAUGAUACAGUCAAUUUCAUUCAUAGUAUGGCUAUUCCAUUCAUUUAGGCUUGUUUGUUUCAUAUGCCGGGUAGUCAGUUUGUUUGGCUUACGUCGCCACCUUGUGGUUUUACAAUAUUGGUCGGUAACUUUUUUUUUAAUGCAUGACAAACUUAAAUUUUUGCAUAUAUAUCAUUCUUUGCUCUGUACCUUCAUUUGGGGUAUAUUAGUUGUUUAUUAGGUGCUGGUAAAUCACUGUCGUAGCAGCAGGGGUUAAUUCCGGUCAAACAAUGCUGGUAUAAAAUCGUUCUCCAUUAGGUCAGUUAAAGGUUAUUAUGAAAGUAUUUCUCCUUAUAGCUUAUCGCGUACUUUACUUUGGUUUUUUAAUAUGUUAUACAAGUUAUUAAUAUACUCAGUUCAGUCUUGUGCAUUGCUUAUUACUAAGUACGCUGUUCAGUAUUAUUUAGAUGACAUUUAGAUUUAAAAGAUAAUACUAUUACUGACACUGCUUACAAACGGGCCUUAUUGGUUAAACGCAACUACAGCAUUAUAAGAGUUCUGGUUAUCGCCCUGCCAAAUCUUCUUACCAUUUUUCUACGUGUAUGGUUAGUAUCUACCCUUUUGCUUGGCGGGGCAAUUUUCUAUGGUUUCACCUGGGGGUUAGGUUGUAACUUAAAUUUUUGACAUGUUUUAGGUUCAAGUAAGGAUUAUUCUUUCCACUUCAGUAUAAGUCAUACAAGUCAAUCAUCAGGUACGUUAACUGUUUAAACCCAGGCAGGGUUAUGAGUAGGUUUAGGCUCUCGCCAAGUUCGGUAUGGUUCAAUAGGCCUUUUCGCCUGUAAGUCGAGUGGUCCCGCAAGGCAUACUAUCAGCCCUUCCGUUCAGAGGUUCGUGCCCAAUCGUCCCAAUGCAUAGUUAUAGCCUUGCAUCAGGUCAUAGUUAGGGCCUCACCCGUCACGGCCAUUCGAUAUUACAUUAUUUUACGUAUCACCGAGAGACAAACACCCUGCCACCCACCUCAGUGACACAAAGUCCAGCUUCCAGCUAUCGUUCCUGGACUAUCCCUAAAAUUACCUCAUAAUUCAAAAAAAGGAAUAUUCCUUUCGUGGCUACAGCCAGGAAAUCUGAACGGUUUCGUUUGUUAAAUACUACUUGUUAAAUACUACUGAGGACAACGAAAGGCCUGGCCCUAGUUCAGAGUUCAAUGUGCUGAGUUGCACGUCAUGAUGGCCUCCCUUGUGUCUUCAGUAGCAACUAUUAAUAAUAGGUUGGAUAAUCUGGAGUCAAAUAAUAUUCCAACAGUUCCAGAGCUCCCAGUGCCUGUUGCUCAGCCAGCACCUAACCCAGGAGGUAAAGAUAACCCUCUACCAGCUAAUAGAGCUACCAAUAUCAUAAAUCCUAUUCACCUCAGUCUCUGAGACGUGACAUUAUAGAGGGGAAGGACAUCAACUUGGCUUCACUACUAAUAGCAUCUCAAGACGUUGUUGAGAACAGGGCUUAUACCUUUGAGGUAAAUAUAUAACUAUAUAAUGGAUAAACUCCAAAAAAAUAUUGGUAGAAAAUCCUUCAAAAGUUAAGACUUGAGAUAGGAUGUGGCAACCAUAACCACUGUAUCACUAGUAAAAGUAAUAACCACCACCAAGGGUUAAAAAAUAAAAACAAGUGUAAAGUGCUUAUUGAAAUAAAUCAAUAAUCAAUACCGGACUCAGUGGAAAUAGUGGAUUAUAAAUCAGUAAGAAAAUCCUUAAGUAAUCCUUUAAUGUGUCAGCUAGUCAGAUCUUAACCUCCUAUGGAAUCAGGUAGGUAGAAUCCACUGGCUGCCAAGGGGUUAAUCUAGUAGAGAUUCUAUAAUCUAUAGACUCAAUACAAAAUACUCCAGGGUAAUAAAUAAUUAAUAAUGAAUUAAGAUAAAAAUAAUGGUAUUAUAUUGUAAGAAUUCCAAGGGAUUAAAAGUUUGUCUAAUAUAUGUGAAGCAGAGUACUAUUGAAAAAUGUAUUGGUACGUAUAAACUGUCUACAAAACACACAAUACUAUAAAAGACUAAAAAUAAAAACAGUCCCAAAUGAGAGAGAUGGUAUACCAGGUCAAGUAGACUGAGGGCCCAAAGAUGUGGGUAACACUGUCUUGCCGACCGGACAGAGGUGAAGGAGGACCUCCUCGUGCUAGAAUGACACUGUGUAUUCGCCACGUGCGUUCCACUGCGGCUGCUGGAUGCGUUCUCAGGAGCUUUAUAUCUUUGAGGAUCUGUCAGUAGUAAUGAAGUCUAGAGAUCCUAGACUAAAUAGGAAACUUAACAUCCCAGAAUUUGUCCUCGCAUUCGGUCUGUACAAAGAUGUGAUCUGUACGGCUUUCCCCCUCCGUAGAGAAGAACUCGACAUAUACCUUCAUAAAGUUGCUGAGUUAGCAUAUAAGUACGGGGACUAUGCCUUUUACCAUUAUCAUAAGUCGUUCGCUUCCAGAUCUGCCGCAUCGCUGUCCCAGUACAAUACAAUUACUGAUUGGGCACAGUUAGACACGGAAUUGUUUCUAAUGCAUUUUGCAGGCCUUAAAACCCCUUCCUGCGCUAUAUGCUCUUCUGCCGCUCAUUCGGUCAAUUUCUGUCCUGAAAAUGUAGCGACCCCUUUUACCAGUAGCGCCAAUACUGGUUACCAGUCCAACACUACCCAGAAGGAAGUGAGAAACAAAUUAGGCAGGCCAAUUGUUUUUCUGGGUAAAGCACAAGUCUGCAAUAAUUUCAAUGCCGGGGGUUGUAGUUAUAGUGCUUGUAGGCUUCUCCACAUGUGCUCACUGUGUUUCAGAGCACAUGCCAAAACAAUGUGCCCCAACAGAUUGUACCCUAAUAAAUCUUCCACUCCAAUAAACAUACCUAAGUUGCAACGCUACCUGUCUAAUCAUCCUUCUUUACAUUUGGUGGAAUUUCUCACGGCUGGUUUCACUAAUGGGUUUCACACAGGGUUCGUGUCACUCCCCACAAGUAUUUUGGAAUGCCCCAACCUACAGUCAGCACUCACAGAUCCAGACAGCAUACAAGAACUCUUACAGAAAGAAAUCACUAAUGGUUUCAUGAUAGGUCCUUUCUCAACUCCUCCUUUCACUUCCUGGAGGACAAACCCCCGAGGAAUCACCAGAGGGAAAUUUAACAAUAAAAAGAGACUGAUUAUUAACUUUUCUGCACCUCACUCAUUCCGUACACCUAGCCUAAAUGCACUGAUCCCGUCAGAAGAUUUUGCCCUUCAGUACACCAGAAUUGACAAUGCCAUACAAGCAAUCAUUCAUUCCGGGAAGGCUGCGUGGUUAAGUAAAUCUGAAAUAAUUAACGCCUUUAAAUUACUUCCCAUUCAUCAGUCACUCUGGCAUCUGCAUGGAGUUACGUGGCAAGACAACUACUAUUUCGCUACCAAACUUACCUUCAGAUCCAAAAGUAGCCCUCAGUUAUUCGAUAUAUUCGCCAAACUUUAACCUGGCUCCUACUGAACUUUUGCAGGUGUCCAGUAAUCAUAAACUACUUAGACAACUUCCUCACCAUUGAACCACACCAAUGCACGCCUCACAGCCUUAAUCACAUGCUCACUCUGUUCAAAGAUUUAGGAGUCCCUGUAGCCCAGGACAAAACAGAAGGUCCCAACACGGAGAUUACUUUCCUGGGAAUUACGCUCAAUUCUGUCUCUAUGCAGGCCAGCCUGCCUCAAGAGAAAGUAGACAGGAUUAUUUCUUACAUAAAUAUCUGCACGUCACAAGGCACUUGCACCAGGAAACAGCUACAGUCACUACUCAGUUCACUCAAUUUUGCAAUGAGAAUAAUUCCUCAGGGUAGGUCUUUCAUUUCCAGAAUCCUUUCACUGUUGCACGGUCUCCCCAACGACGACUCCACAACUCCCAUAGUCGAGUCAGCUAGAGCUGAUCUACAAAUGUGGCAGCUGUUCCUAUCAUCUUGGAAUGGCCGGUCGCUAUUUAUUCCACCCAUUUCUGACGAUUCCCCUGUAGUUUGGACUGAUGUUUCAGGUGCCAUAGGGUAUGCAGCUAUUUACGGUGAUGAAUGGCUGUACGACUCUUGGCCAGUUGAGACCACCUCGCUCAAAAAUUUCAAUACCACGUCAACUCUAUUUGAAAUUUACCCUAUAGUAGCAGCUGCACACGUCUGGGGUAAAGAAUGGUGUUGGCAGUCAAUCAGAUGCUUUUCUGAUAACUUGUAAUAUAGUUAACAAAGGCCGCUCUCAGUCCCUCAUGAUUAUGAACUUAAUAAGGAGACUGACCUGGCUAGCGGCUAAUCUUCAAUUCUGUAUAACCUGUAUUCACGUCCCGGGUGUUCAAAAUACCGCUGCUGAUGCUCUCUCACGUUUGAAUUUGCAGGAAUUUUUCAGGUUUCAUCCAUCAGCGAACUCGCAACCCAGGGAACCUCCAAGUUUUACAGACCUAAUUAUGCUUUAAGUUCUCUAUUAAAACAUAGUAGGUCACUCGCACAGACAGGCUUGUCCCUUAAUACAAGGAAAGCCUAUUCCAGUGCGUACGAGUUGUUUCA
This 5495-nucleotide long non-coding RNA is filed under the name Pelobates cultripes (western spadefoot toad). The record is from RNAcentral. Lineage: Eukaryota; Metazoa; Chordata; Amphibia; Anura; Pelobatidae.